Molecule: unclassified non-coding RNA, 378 nt
Filed under: plant metagenome
Description: partial contains 5.8S ribosomal RNA, internal transcribed spacer 2, and large subunit ribosomal RNA
Rfam family: 5.8S ribosomal RNA (bases 1-105)
Source: RNAcentral
GAAAUGCGAUAAGUAAUGUGAAUUGCAGAAUUCAGUGAAUCAUCGAAUCUUUGAACGCACCUUGCGCUCCUUGGUAUUCCUUGGAGCAUGCCUGUUUGAGUAUCAUGAAAUCUUCAAAGUAAAUCUUUUGUUAACUCAAUUGGUUUCUACUUUGGUAUUGGAGGUCUUUGCAGCUUCACACCUGCUCCUCUUUGUUCAUUAGCUGGAUCUCAGUGUUAUGCUUGGUUCCACUCGGCGUGAUAAGUUAUCUAUCGCUGAGGACACUGUAAAAGGUGGCCAAGGUAAAUGCAGAUGAACCGCUUCUAAUAGUCCAUUGACUUGGACAAUACUUUUAUGAUCUGAUCUCGAAUCAGGUAGGAAUACCCGCUGAACUUAAGC